This 87-nucleotide transfer RNA is filed under the name Salinisphaera hydrothermalis. RNAcentral's name for it is "tRNA-Leu". It matches the Rfam family "tRNA". Rfam says of the family: Transfer RNA (tRNA) molecules are approximately 80 nucleotides in length. Their secondary structure includes four short double-helical elements and three loops (D, anti-codon, and T loops). Further hydrogen bonds mediate the characteristic L-shaped molecular structure. tRNAs have two regions of fundamental functional importance: the anti-codon, which is responsible for specific mRNA codon recognition, and the 3' end, to which the tRNAs corresponding amino acid is attached (by aminoacyl-tRNA synthetases). tRNAs cope with the degeneracy of the genetic code in two manners: having more than one tRNA (with a specific anti-codon) for a particular amino acid; and 'wobble' base-pairing, i.e. permitting non-standard base-pairing at the 3rd anti-codon position. RNAcentral also lists the same sequence under 7 other names. The record is from RNAcentral. Lineage: Bacteria; Pseudomonadati; Pseudomonadota; Gammaproteobacteria; Salinisphaerales; Salinisphaeraceae.
GCCCGGGUGGCGGAACUGGUAGACGCGUCGGACUCAAAAUCCGAUUCUGGUGACAGAGUGCGAGUUCGAGUCUCGCCCCGGGCACCA